UAGGGAAUAUUAGUAAUGGGCGAAAGCCUGAACUAGCAACACCGCGUGUGCGAAGAAGGCCUUCGGGUUGUAAAGCACUUUUCGAGAGGAAGAGGAAGGACGGUACCUGCAGAAUAAGUCUCGGCUAACUACGUGCCAGCAGCCGCGGUAAAACGUAGGAGACGAGCGUUAUCCGGAUUUACUGGGCGUAAAGCGCGUGCAGGCGGCAUGGCAAGUUGGAUGUGAAAGCUCCCGGCUUAACUGGGAGAGGUCGUUCAAUACUGCCAGGCUUGAGAGUGGUAGAGGGAAGCGGAAUUCCGGGUGUAGUGGUGAAAUGCGUAGAUAUCCGGAGGAACACCAGUGGCGAAAGCGGCUUCCUGGCCCAUUUCUGACGCUCAGACGCGAAAGCUAGGGUAGCAAACG
RNAcentral lists this ribosomal RNA (402 nucleotides) under uncultured prokaryote. RNAcentral describes it as "bacterial SSU rRNA". It matches the Rfam family "Bacterial small subunit ribosomal RNA", at positions 355 to 774 of the family's 1533-position model. The record is from RNAcentral.